GUAACACCACCUUCUCCAGUGAAGGCACCACCAACACCACCUUUAGUUAAAUCACCACCUAUUGUGAAAGCACCUUCUCCACCAUUGGUGAAAACACCACCAUAUCAAUCACCACCAGUGAAACCAACACCACCUAUUGUGAAAUCACCUCCUUCUCCACCAUUGGUAAAAUCACCACCUUAUCAAUCACCACCUAUUGUUAAGGCACCUUCUCCCCCUCUAGUGAAACCAACUCCACCUAUUGUGAAAUCACCUCCUUCUCCUCCUUUGGUGAAAACACCACCUUAUCAAUCACCACCUAUAGUGAAGGCACCACCAACUCCUCCACCUAUUGUGAAAACACCUCCUUAUCAAUCACCACCAAUAGUUAAACCACCAGUUGCUCCAUCUCCACCACCUACUCCAAUAGUCAAAUCAUGGAAGGGUAAGUCAAUUUCCAUUUACAUGUCUUUAAUAUGUAACAUUUUAAUAACACAUAAGACUAUGUUCAUGUUUCUAAAUUGUGGUCUCAAUAUAAUA
This 519-nucleotide long non-coding RNA is filed under the name Medicago truncatula (barrel medic). RNAcentral describes it as "long non-coding RNA (MTRU_LNC003789)". The record is from RNAcentral. Lineage: Eukaryota; Viridiplantae; Streptophyta; Magnoliopsida; Fabales; Fabaceae.